GCAAGUCGACGAUGAUCCGGUGCUUGCACCGGGGAUUAGUGGCGAACGGGUGAGUAACACGUGAGUAACCUGCCCUUGACUCUGGGAUAAGCCUGGGAAACCGGGUCUAAUACCGGAUACGACCUGUCACCGCAUGGUGGUGGGUGGAAAGAUUUUUUGGUUUUGGAUGGACUCGCGGCCUAUCAGCUUGUUGGUGAGGUAAUGGCUCACCAAGGCGACGACGGGUAGCCGGCCUGAGAGGGUGACCGGCCACACUGGGACUGAGACACGGCCCAGACUCCUACGGGAGGCAGCAGUGGGGAAUAUUGCACAAUGGGCGAAAGCCUGAUGCAGCGACGCCGCGUGAGGGAUGACGGCCUUCGGGUUGUAAACCUCUUUCAGCAGGGAAGAAGCGAAAGUGACGGUACCUGCAGAAGAAGCGCCGGCUAACUACGUGCCAGCAGCCGCGGUAAUACGUAGGGCGCAAGCGUUGUCCGGAAUUAUUGGGCGUAAAGAGCUCGUAGGCGGUUUGUCGCGUCUGCUGUGAAAGCCCGGGGCUCAACCCCGGGUCUGCAGUGGGUACGGGCAGACUAGAGUGCAGUAGGGGAGACUGGAAUUCCUGGUGUAGCGGUGAAAUGCGCAGAUAUCAGGANGAACACCGAUGGCGAAGGCAGGUCUCUGGGCUGUAACUGACGCUGAGGAGCGAAAGCAUGGGGAGCGAACAGGAUUAGAUACCCUGGUAGUCCAUGCCGUAAACGUUGGGCACUAGGUGUGGGGGACAUUCCACGUUUUCCGCGCCGUAGCUAACGCAUUAAGUGCCCCGCCUGGGGNGUACGGSCGCAAGGCUAAACUCAAAGGAAUUGACGGGG
This 848-nucleotide ribosomal RNA is filed under the name Crystallibacter crystallopoietes. RNAcentral describes it as "bacterial SSU rRNA". It matches the Rfam family "Bacterial small subunit ribosomal RNA", at positions 57 to 918 of the family's 1533-position model. The record is from RNAcentral. Lineage: Bacteria; Bacillati; Actinomycetota; Actinomycetes; Micrococcales; Micrococcaceae.